This 391-nucleotide unclassified non-coding RNA is filed under the name soil metagenome. Its description in RNAcentral is "partial contains 5.8S ribosomal RNA, internal transcribed spacer 2, and large subunit ribosomal RNA". The stretch from base 1 to 121 matches the Rfam family "5.8S ribosomal RNA", at positions 35 to 154 of the family's 154-position model. The record is from RNAcentral.
GAUGAAGAACUAGCGAAAUGCGAUACUUGGUGUGAAUUGCAGAAUCCCGUGAACCAUCGAGUCUUUGAACGCAAGUUGCGCCCGAAGCCACUAGGCCGAGGGCACGCCUGCCUGGGCGUCACACGCCGUUGCCCCCCCAUCUACUCCUUCGGGAUUGCGGGGGGGCGGAUGAUGGCCUCCUGUGCGCCUAGCCGCGCGGUUGGCAUAAAUGCCAAGUCCUCGGCGACGCACGCCACGACAAUCGGUGGUUGCGAAACCUCGGUUGCCCGUCGUGUGCGGUCGUCGCGCAUCGAGGGCUCGAAAAAAUUGCCGGGCUCCGGCUCGGCUUUCAACGCGACCCCAGGUCAGGCGGGGUUACCCGCUGAAUUUAAGCAUAUCAAUAAGCGGAGGA